AGGGGAUCGUAAGACCUCGCGUUAAUGGAGUGGCCGAUAUCUGAUUAGCUAGUUGGUGAGGUAAAGGCUCACCAAGGCGACGAUCAGUAGCUGGUCUGAGAGGACGACCAGCCACACUGGAACUGAGACACGGUCCAGACUCCUACGGGAGGCAGCAGUGGGGAAUUUUGGACAAUGGGCGCAAGCCUGAUCCAGCCAUUCCGCGUGAGUGAAGAAGGCCUUCGGGUUGUAAAGCUCUUUCGCAAGGGAAGAAAACUUACUCAAUAACACUGGGUGAGGCUGACGGUACCUUGAUAAGAAGCACCGGCUAACUACGUGCCAGCAGCCGCGGUAAUACGUAGGGUGCGAGCGUUAAUCGGAAUUACUGGGCGUAAAGCGUGCGCAGGCGGUUUUGUAAGUCAGAUGUGAAAGCCCCGGGCUCAACCUGGGAACUGCGUUUGAAACUACA
RNAcentral lists this ribosomal RNA (448 nucleotides) under uncultured beta proteobacterium. RNAcentral describes it as "bacterial SSU rRNA". It matches the Rfam family "Bacterial small subunit ribosomal RNA", at positions 194 to 637 of the family's 1533-position model. Lineage: Bacteria; Pseudomonadati; Pseudomonadota; Betaproteobacteria. The record is from RNAcentral.